UUUUUUUUUUUUGUUUUUUUUCUAAUGGAGUUUGUGUGUCCGUUCAGUAGGAAAUGGAAUGGAAUUAAACCACGUUCUAAAUAAAAGCCAGUGCUUUUACUGUAGGAAUAGUCAUUCUUCACUUUAACUCAUGACUCAAGCUUUCUUUGAAAAAAAGUUUACUCAGAUAAACACGAGUUUCAUAGAAGUCAGUUAUUCUACCAGUAAACUCAAACCUUGUGCUCACAUUUAAUCAACAUUGUAUUACAGGUAUCAUCAUCUCUACCUUUUGUGAGUGUUUAGCCCCUCAUCGGUCUUGGUUUACUUCUGCUAGUGUUAAAAUUUUAUGUCUGGUACUGUACAAUAUUGCUGAUACUAUACAAGCUUAACAUAAAUUAGUGGACAAGCUAGUGUAUAGAUGUUUUAACUGCAUUGUCAUAGAAAUCCUUGGUGCAUUGUUAUAUAGAUGUUUAUGGGUACUUUAGCAAUAUUUGAAGAAAUUGAGGUUUUAGACAGGCUGUUUUUCCCCAUUUAGGAUAAGCUAAUCCUUCUAUCCAAGUGUGUCCUAUCCAAAAUGUUUUCAGGAAAGGAUUAAUCUUUGAUAAAAAUUAGAUGAAAUUAAAUAUGCACUUUAUUGUAUCUCAGGCAAAACUAAAUAAGAGACAUAAUGAAGGAGUCAGAUGCUUGUCCUUGUGUGGAGAGACACCAGGUGAUGACUACAGACACGGACCAAGCCAGGUGCACUGAAGUGGCCAUAAAUACCUAGUGGCAUUGUCUUUAAUAUGCCUUUACAAAAUAGGUAUACUUUGUUUUCAGAACUUUAUCAAAAGUCAGCCUUAUUCUGAGGUGAUGCAUUCUUGGAAACUAUUAACCAGUAUAAAAGUUCCAAGAUCAGAUUUAAUUAUUUUUUAAUCUGCACAUAAGUUAUUCACUGUGUUGGGCUGUCAGAGACUUAACAUUCCGGAGCUUUGGAGCCCUGCCCACUGGUUGCCAGUGGUGACAGCCUGCAAUAGUUGUGACAACUAAAACUGCCCUCAUGAGUUUUUAAAGCAACCUGGGUGGGUGGUGACACUCUGUCUUAGGAGUUGUUGCAUUAUACUGUCCAUCACCAUUGAGAGCUGAUCUCAUGGUCCACAACUUCAGAGGGGAUUGAAAUACCAGAGUCAGAGUUGACAGACAACACUAGCAGGUUCCUCACUACCACCCUGUGGUUGAGAUACAUAAGGAAUAACUACAUAACUCAUGAGCUUCCAGAGGCUGAUAUGCCUCUGACAUGUAGAAUAUAGGUUAGUCAAGAAGUGGCUUCAGACUCAGAUUUCAUGGGCCUAAGUCGCAGCAAUGUGAGAAUAGGUUAUUUGCUUAUCCUGUUCAAAUUACUCAUCUGUCAAGGGGGUAUAUUUUAAUAGCAAGUAUCAUGGGUUUACAAGAUACCGUAUAAAGCACCUAAUAGUGCUUGGCACAAAGAACACAAAUGUUACAUGCUAUGAAGUUAUUCUUCUCUAAGCUUUUGUUACCAAGUUAGGGAACUUGUAUAUUAGGAAAAUAUAAGUGUUGUCCAAUAACUAAUACCACAGGGAACUCAAGUUCUGACAAGAGGAUUCAUUUAUCAAAAUCUAGAUUUGUAGACCCCUUGACAGAGUCCAAAACUGCAUUUAGGUAAAGGGAGAUCCACAGGUAUAUGCUCAUUGCUCUAAGCCUAUUUUCAAGGUUGUAAGCUUGCUUGGUUAUUUCUAAAAGUCCUAUGUUGCUAAGAAACAAUUACUGUUAUGACUAGACAAUACUUUAGCUCUUUAUUUUAAAAAUCAAGUCUUGGUAUUAAUGAAGGAAAGCCUGAACAUUUCCAUGUCUCUUCCACUAAGUUUAAGAUAAGCUCAUUAUUGAUCAAAACCAAGUUAAACUUCUAAAGGUAAAGGCAUCUGUUUUACAUUAUCUUUUAUGACUUGGAAUAUUUGACUGGUAUUUCUAUUGUGGUAUAAAUGUUUGAAGAGCAAGGUCCCUGGUUUUCUGCUUCCCAGAACUAUUAAGAACACCAAUUGCAAUCACUGUCAGUCCUUGGGGGACAAUUUGCAUGUGAACAACUGAUUAGUCAGCUUGUCUGUUCAUUUUUACAUGAACUGCAUGUCAGACAAUGCCUCAUAUCCUAUCAGAGGCCUUCCAUUUCCAUUUUGGGAGUUUAAAGAAUUUGGUAUCCCAGAUUAAUCUGCCUUUUGAGCAUGAAAACAGUGGGUAAUAUUUUCCAUUCCUUUCAUUGGUGAGCCAAAAACUCAAGGUGCAAGUGGAAUUCGAUCUUUAAGACUCUUUCUACCACACUUCGUGCAAGUCUUCCCUCUCCUGGCUCCAAGAGGUGUUGCCAAAGGAGAUUACCAUCUGAGUCAGUGGACUGGGAGAGACAGACCCACCCUCAGUCUGGGUGGGUACCAUCUAAUCAGCUACCCACACGGCUAGAAUAAAGCAGGCAGAAGAAAGUGAUCAACAGACUUGCUGAGUCUUCUGGCCUUCAUCUUUCUCCCGUGCUGGAUGCUUCCUGCCCCUGAACGUCAGACUCCAAGUUCUUCAGAUUAUGGACACUUGGACUUACACCAGUGGUUCACCAGGGGCUCUCGAGCCUUUGGCCACAGACUGAGCUCCUUGGGGAACACAGCAAAUGAAGAUGACCCAGGGAAAAAGGGGUAGUGAUGCCAAGUUCUUAGCAGAACGGCUUUCCAAAAGACGUGCUAUGCAGAGUCAGGGUUCUCCAAGGAGACUAUGUAUAUAAAAUAAGAAUUGGCUUGCACAUUUUGGAGGCUGACAAGACUUAAGAUCUGCAAUCAGCAAGCUGCAGACCCGGGAGAGAGGAUAGUAUCAUUCCUGUCCAAGUCCAUGAACUAGGAGAGCCAGUGAUGAUUCCAGGUCUGCACCUGCUUCUCCUCUGAUUCUUCUUUACCAGCUAUCCAUAUUUACUCCAUCCUGAUGAGCUUCAGCUACCACUCUCGAAGUGUGAUUCUUAAAUCUCUAUCUGCAGUUCAGAACUCUUCUGAAUACCAGAAACCAUAGGUCCAAUUGAUUGUUGACCAUUGCCAUCUGGCAUUAAACAGGACUUCAAGCAUAAAUCCAAAACUGAACUCAUCAGAUUUAUCCCAAAGCUCUUUUUCCCCUUGACAAUUAGUCAAAUAAAAAUAUAAACCACA
Molecule: long non-coding RNA, 3146 nt
Organism: Homo sapiens (human)
Lineage: Eukaryota; Metazoa; Chordata; Mammalia; Primates; Hominidae
Product: long intergenic non-protein coding RNA 1755
Source: Ensembl